Molecule: ribosomal RNA, 241 nt
Filed under: uncultured bacterium
Lineage: Bacteria
Description: partial 16S ribosomal RNA
Rfam family: Bacterial small subunit ribosomal RNA
Source: RNAcentral
UAGCGGCGGACGGGUGAGUAACGCGUGGGUAACCUGCCUUACACUGGGGGAUAACAGUUAGAAAUGACUGCUAAUACCGCAUAAGCGCACAGGGCCGCAUGGUCCGGUGUGAAAAACUCCGGUGGUGUAAGAUGGACCCGCGUCUGAUUAGGUAGUUGGUGGGGUAACGGCCCACCAAGCCGACGAUCAGUAGCCGACCUGAGAGGGUGACCGGCCACAUUGGGACUGAGACACGGCCCAA